GGAAGUAAAAGCGUAACAAGGUUUCCGUAGGUGAACCUGCGGAAGGAUCAUUAUUGUAUACCCGAGGUGCGAGGGCUGUCGCUGACCCGAAAGGUCGUGCACGCCCGAGUGCCCUCACACACAUCCAUCUCACCCCUAUGUGCACCACCGCGUGGGUCCCCCUUUGGCUUGUUCGGAGGGGGGCUUACGUUUUCACACAAACUUUGUAUGCAGUGUAGAAUGUAUUUUUUGUUUUUGCGAUCACGCAAUCAAUACAACUUUCAACAACGGAUCUCUUGGCUCUC
This 284-nucleotide unclassified non-coding RNA is filed under the name plant metagenome. Its description in RNAcentral is "partial contains small subunit ribosomal RNA, internal transcribed spacer 1, and 5.8S ribosomal RNA". The stretch from base 1 to 53 matches the Rfam family "Eukaryotic small subunit ribosomal RNA", at positions 1778 to 1831 of the family's 1831-position model. The record is from RNAcentral.